CAACUUUCAACAACGGAUCUCUUGGUUCUGGCAUCGGUGAAGAACGCAGCGAAAUGCGAUAAGUAGUGUGAAUUGCAGAAUUCAGUGAAUCAUCGAAUCUUUGAACGCACAUUGCGCCCUUUGGUAUUCCAAAGGGCAUGCCUGUUCGAGCGUCAUU
This 157-nucleotide ribosomal RNA is filed under the name Alternaria tenuissima. RNAcentral's name for it is "5.8S ribosomal RNA". It matches the Rfam family "5.8S ribosomal RNA". From Rfam's summary of the family: 5.8S ribosomal RNA (5.8S rRNA) is a component of the large subunit of the eukaryotic ribosome. It is transcribed by RNA polymerase I as part of the 45S precursor that also contains 18S and 28S rRNA. Functionally, it is thought that 5.8S rRNA may be involved in ribosome translocation. Lineage: Eukaryota; Fungi; Ascomycota; Dothideomycetes; Pleosporales; Pleosporaceae. The record is from RNAcentral.